CCGAGUUAGGGUCCUCUGGGCUCGACCUCCAACCCUUUGUCUACCUUACUUUACGUUGCUUCGGCGGGUCCGUCCUGAAAAGGACCGCCGGAGGGUGGAUUUACCCUCUGGCCCGCGCCCGCCGGUGGCCACCAAUCAAACUCUUGUUAAAAACGUGUCGUCUGAAGUAUUAAACAAAAUAACUAA
RNAcentral lists this unclassified non-coding RNA (186 nucleotides) under uncultured Rhinocladiella. RNAcentral describes it as "sequence contains ITS1". Lineage: Eukaryota; Fungi; Ascomycota; Eurotiomycetes; Chaetothyriales; Herpotrichiellaceae. The record is from RNAcentral.